GCAGUCGAGCGACAGAAAGGAGCUUGCUCCUUUGACGUUAGCGGCGGACGGGUGAGUAACACGUGGGCAACCUACCCUAUAGUUUGGGAUAACUCCGGGAAACCGGGGCUAAUACCGAAUAAUCUCUUUUGCUUCAUGGUGAAAGACUGAAAGACGGUUUCGGCUGUCGCUAUAGGAUGGGCCCGCGGCGCAUUAGCUAGUUGGUGAGGUAACGGCUCACCAAGGCGACGAUGCGUAGCCGACCUGAGAGGGUGAUCGGCCACACUGGGACUGAGACACGGCCCAGACUCCUACGGGAGGCAGCAGUAGGGAAUCUUCCACAAUGGGCGAAAGCCUGAUGGAGCAACGCCGCGUGAGUGAAGAAGGUUUUCGGAUCGUAAAACUCUGUUGUAAGGGAAGAACAAGUACAGUAGUAACUGGCUGUACCUUGACGGUACCUUAUUAGAAAGCCACGGCUAACUACGUGCCAGCAGCCGCGGUAAUACGUAGGUGGCAAGCGUUGUCCGGAAUUAUUGGGCGUAAAGCGCGCGCAGGCGGUCCUUUAAGUCUGAUGUGAAAGCCCACGGCUCAACCGUGGAGGGUCAUUGGAAACUGGGGGACUUGAGUGCAGAAGAGGAAAGUGGAAUUCCACGUGUAGCGGUGAAAUGCGUAGAGAUGUGGAGGAACACCAGUGGCGAAGGCGACUUUCUGGUCUGUAACUGACGCUGAGGCGC
RNAcentral lists this ribosomal RNA (713 nucleotides) under Lysinibacillus boronitolerans. RNAcentral describes it as "bacterial SSU rRNA". It matches the Rfam family "Bacterial small subunit ribosomal RNA", at positions 57 to 754 of the family's 1533-position model. Lineage: Bacteria; Bacillati; Bacillota; Bacilli; Caryophanales; Bacillaceae. The record is from RNAcentral.